RNAcentral lists this long non-coding RNA (201 nucleotides) under Prunus persica (peach). RNAcentral describes it as "long non-coding RNA (PPER_LNC007910)". The record is from RNAcentral. Lineage: Eukaryota; Viridiplantae; Streptophyta; Magnoliopsida; Rosales; Rosaceae.
GAGACCGGUUGCCCCCUCUGAUUUUAGCCCAAUUAUGUUUUGGGUUCCUUAUGUUUUUGUUCAAUUGUUGAUUGUGUACUUGUUGCUUUAUUUAUUUAUUUUAACAUUCACUACUUUUCUUGCACAAAUUGUUAAAUAUAGAUAGAUCUAUGAGUCCAUGAUAUCAUGGGGUUGGGGCAGCCUUGGGAGGCUGUGGUGGCG